AUUUGCAUCCAACGCUACUGAUAGGACUGGGCAACCUAGGUCACUGGCAACUGUGGAAAGGAAACUUUUGGUGGGAUUGUGAGGAAAAAACUGGAAGGGAGUGGGCAGAAGUGGAGACGGGGAACACAUACAGCUCUUUGGAAGAGUUUUGCUCUAAGGGGAGCAGAGACAAGCCAUGGCAGCUGAAGGGAAUCUGGAAGUCUCUGGUCUUUAAUAUUGAGCUAUACCCACUUGGGAUGCAUGUAAGUGGGUGGAAAGUCCUGGCAGAGGGGAGAACCCGCGGUGCAGGAGAGAGGGCGACUGUAGGAGAAAAGCCCUCAAGGAGUGAAGAGGGAUGGGCCCCGAGGAUGGGAGCAGGGUGGGGCAUUUAUUGCCACAGAAGGGGAGGCUGAGGAUAUGGUGUCAGAUGCAGAUGGGCUGAGAGUUCACCCUUCACCCUCUCUCCUAGGUCUGGGAACCUAAGAGGGCCAGAAGCUGGGGUCCAAGUCUACUUGUCCCACCCCGUCCACUGGAACUCCCUGGCCCCCAGCUCUGCACAGCUCCUGCCCUGCAGCCCUCGCCUGGCUGUGCUCCGGGAAGGCCUCGUGGGCACUUCACCCUGCUCUGCAGCCACACUCACGCCCUGGUCCAGGUCACACAGAGGCAAAGACCCCACUGGCUCAGACUUCACCAACGUGGAGCAGGGGAGAGAAGCUAAGUUCUGACCUUUGAUCAGAAGAUGGGGAAGCCACACUCAACACGUCACUGCCUUGGGAGGUGGAUUUGGGGAUGGUGGGUCCUGGGGAAAAAUGGGCCUUUGGUGUGGAAAUGACAUCUUUCCUGUUUCCGACCUCUGCCUGCCUCAUGCCAGGUGAGACACUUUCAUGCCUGUUUCCAUGAUUGAGAACAUGGGAGUACGCUUCUUUCCA
This is a long non-coding RNA of Symphalangus syndactylus (siamang), 908 nucleotides long. RefSeq lists it as uncharacterized. Lineage: Eukaryota; Metazoa; Chordata; Mammalia; Primates; Hylobatidae. The record is from RefSeq and is a predicted model, not a curated record.